RNAcentral lists this long non-coding RNA (1881 nucleotides) under Oryctolagus cuniculus (rabbit). RNAcentral describes it as "lncRNA (ENSOCUG00000037231.1)". The record is from RNAcentral. Lineage: Eukaryota; Metazoa; Chordata; Mammalia; Lagomorpha; Leporidae.
AUGCGCUGCGCCACAGAUCCCAAGACCCUGUGCUCCAGAAUCUCCUCCCGCUUCCACGGGCGCACGAGCUUCCUGCUGGGGCACCACGAGCACCCUGACUCCUGGACGCCAGACACGAACGAGGAGAAGGUUCCCAGGCUCUGGAUGCCGCCUCCCUGUGCACAUGUUGGGGCUCCAGAGGUUCCAUGGGCACCGUGGAAGGAGGGGAUGGCGGGGGCUGGGGAGGCCCCCCAGGCCUCAGCCUUGAAGGCCCAAGCCGCCUCGCUCUCCAGGCCAGUGUCAUCGUCCCUGUUCCUGAAGAUGAGCAAAGUGGACAUGGUUCCGCUCCGCUUGCCUCAAGAGAGCAAGACAAAGGCCCAUGCGCCAACCCAGUCCCAUUCCCAUUUCACAACGAACACCCCCAGCCACACUCAGACUCACUCUCCAGCCCACAUCCCUGAGCAAACCCACUCCCAGACCCAGGGCCUUGAGCCCACUGCGGCCCCCACCCCUGCCGAAGCCCCACCCCCGCCCCCAACCCCUAACCCAGCAAAGGCCACAGCCCCUACCUCAGCCCAGGCCCCGGGCCACACCUCAGCCUCUACUCUGGUCCAGGACCCAGGCCACAACACUGCAGACCCUAUCCCAGCCCAGGCCCCAGCCUCGGACCAGAGUCCUAAGCGUAGCCACUCCCAGGCCCACAGCCCCGAGCACACCUCAGUCCAGUCCUCCUUCAGGGUCCCUGCGAAAGCCUUGGCUCACUCUCAGGGCCACGACCCAGCCCACACCUCAGCCCAGGCUUGGACUGACUCCCAGGCUCCUGGCCCUGAGCACACAUCAGCCCAGGCCCCAGAAGGCACCACAGCCCAUUCUCAACAAGUCCACACUUACAGCCACACCCCACUCGCUGCCCCAGCCUCGGCUUCAGCCCUUCCCCCAAAGCUUGCCCCAGCCACGAUGCCCGUCCUCACUCCUCCACAACCAGUCCCUGUCCCCGUCUGUGGCCCAGCCUCUGCUCCAUCACUGGUCAUGGCCCUGACUACCACUUCAGUGCCUUCUCCUAUCCCUGCCACCGCCCACACUCCUGUCCUAAGUCCUGUUCCCUCUGCCCUGCCUGCCUUCAACCACGGCCUCUCCACUGGCCACGUGGUCUACGAUGCCCGCAGAGUGAAGCAGAACAUCUUCCAUAUGUACACCCCCCAGAACUCUGGGUGUCCCAGAAAGGACUUGAGUGUCUUCUCCAGGUCCCAAGACGGGCAGGGCCUGGUGAGUCCGGGGGUAUCCGAGCAAACAUUAAAGCCACGCAGUGGGGAUUGUGCCAAGCCUCCUUCAGCACCUAUCCUGGGCUACCUGGAGUUGGGGAAUAUGGAAUGGAAGGUCUCCGACGAUGCCAAAGACAAGUUCUCCCAGCCCAAGAAAUUCUCUUACUGCAGCUUCCAACCUUGCAGUUCGGAGAGGAAGAGCUCCCAGGCUCCAGUCUACCCCAAGUUCCUGGUCUACUCUCAGGAUGCUGCAUCCUCUAAACCUUGCUUCCACUCUCCCACUGCUACACAGAACUCACUGUCUGCCCUUCCUCCGCCAUGCACGCUCUCCUUGCCGCUCGUUCCUCCCAGAACCUACGUGGUCGCAACCAACCAUCAGAAGCCCUCCACCUUAAUUCAAACCCACACCCUUUUCUCGGCCUCCAAGCUGCCUCAGUCUAUCCCACCUUGCCAAUUCCCCAUCCCUCCUCUGUUCUCCACCACUUCUCAACCCCUCGUCCAACCCCAACAACCUGAGCUUCAUGAGGGUCUCGGCCUCAUCCAAGACCCUGGCCACCAAUUGACCUCAAGCCCUUCCAAGGACUCCAGAGUUCCCAGGAAGCCGAGCCUUACCCAAAAUCCAGGCCUCCACAAGAGUCUG